RNAcentral lists this long non-coding RNA (346 nucleotides) under Nicotiana benthamiana. RNAcentral's name for it is "long non-coding RNA (NBEN_LNC005998)". The record is from RNAcentral. Lineage: Eukaryota; Viridiplantae; Streptophyta; Magnoliopsida; Solanales; Solanaceae.
UUGUUGUCUUUAGUAGGAAUCAUAAUCCUAACACAGAUUCUCAAUCAGACAAAAAUUCCUAGUUUUUGAAGGAAAAUUUAAAAUUCACGACUAUAACUAUAAUAAUCAUAAUUAUAACAAUAUACAAGCUUACAUGUACUUAAAAACAUUGAUUAUUCCUGAAAAUUAGUAGCUCAUUAACAUGGGCUUCUAAACUGUAUACAUGUAACUGACCCCUCAAGAAAUAUCUCACGUAAUAGUCGUCUAAACAAUGAAAUACACUAGUAAGGAUGGAAGAAAAUUAAAAUAGAACAAUAAUCAACCUACAUUUUUAGGGCUUUAUGGUGGGAUCGUAUAGAAGACAGGG